RNAcentral lists this ribosomal RNA (459 nucleotides) under uncultured bacterium. Its description in RNAcentral is "partial 16S ribosomal RNA". It matches the Rfam family "Bacterial small subunit ribosomal RNA", at positions 338 to 795 of the family's 1533-position model. The record is from RNAcentral.
CCUACGGGGGGCAGCAGUGAGGAAUAUUGGUCAAUGGGCGAGAGCCUGAACCAGCCAAGUCGCGUGAGGGACGACGGUCCUAUGGAUUGUAAACCUCUUUUGUCGGGGAACAAAGGCGCCCACGGGUGGGCGGAUGAGUGUCCCCGAAGAAAAAGCAUCGGCUAACUCCGUGCCAGCAGCCGCGGUAAUACGGAGGAUGCAAGCGUUCUCCGGAUUUAUGGGGUGUAAGGGGUGCGUAGGCGGACAGUCAAGUCAGCGGUAAAAAUGCGGUUCUCAACGCCAUACAGCCGUUGAAACUGGCAGUCUUGAGUGGGCGAGAAGUAUGCGGAAUGCGUGGUGUAGCGGUGAAAUGCAGAGAUAUCACGCAGAACACCGAUUGCGAAGGCAGCAUACCAGCGCCCUACUGACGCUGAGGCACGAAAGCGUGGGUAGCGAACAGGAUUAGAUACCCCAGUAGUC